GUGCAUCGGGCCUGGCCAACCACGACUUGGCCAGGAGGCUGUGCCAGGCGCUCCUCCUUCCCGCCAACAUCGAGGCGAUGAAGAACCAGCGUGUCUCCGACAUGCUGUCUUCGUUCUACCCGAUGAUGAUCCGGGUAAGUCCCUCUUUCCUUCGUUUCCAACGUGGUUUCCGUAAGCUCGAUCUCCUGACGGUCGGUUUUGUUUUGUGCAGCUGGUUU
This 218-nucleotide long non-coding RNA is filed under the name Elaeis guineensis (African oil palm). Its description in RNAcentral is "long non-coding RNA (EGUI_LNC019575)". Lineage: Eukaryota; Viridiplantae; Streptophyta; Magnoliopsida; Arecales; Arecaceae. The record is from RNAcentral.